GAUGAACGCUAGCUACAGGCUUAACACAUGCAAGUCGAGGGGAAACGAUAUUGGAAGCUUGCUUCCGAUAGGCGUCGACCGGCGCACGGGUGAGUAACGCGUAUCCAACCUGCCCAUCACUUGGGAAUAACCUUGCGAAAGUAAGACUAAUGCCCAAUGACAUUUAUAGAAGGCAUCUGAAAUGAAUUAAAGAUUUAUCGGUGAUGGAGUGGGGAUGCGUCUGUAUUAGCUUGGUUGGGACGGGGUAACCGGCCCACCGAAGGCGACGAUCAGGUAGGGUUCUGAGAGGAACGGCCCCCCA
This 301-nucleotide ribosomal RNA is filed under the name uncultured bacterium. RNAcentral's name for it is "bacterial SSU rRNA". It matches the Rfam family "Bacterial small subunit ribosomal RNA", at positions 28 to 310 of the family's 1533-position model. The record is from RNAcentral.